GAGUUUGAUCCUGGCUCAGGACGAACGCUGGCGGCGCGCCUAACACAUGCAAGUCGAACGAGCGAGAGAGAGCUUGCUUUCUCAAGCGAGUGGCGAACGGGUGAGUAACGCGUGAGGAACCUGCCUCAAAGAGGGGGACAACAGUUGGAAACGACUGCUAAUACCGCAUAAGCCCACAGCUCGGCAUCGAGCAGAGGGAAAAGGAGCAAUCCGCUUUGAGAUGGCCUCGCGUCCGAUUAGCUAGUUGGUGAGGUAAUGGCCCACCAAGGCGACGAUCGGUAGCCGGACUGAGAGGUUGAACGGCCACAUUGGGACUGAGACACGGCCCAGACUCCUACGGGAGGCAGCAGUGGGGAAUAUUGCACAAUGGGGGAAACCCUGAUGCAGCGACGCCGCGUGGAGGAAGAAGGCCUUCGGAUUGUAAACUCCUGUUGUUGAGGAAGAUAAUGACGGUACUCAACAAGGAAGUGACGGCUAACUACGUGCCAGCAGCCGCGGUAAAACGUAGGUCACAAGCGUUGUCCGGAAUUACUGGGUGUAAAGGGAGCGCAGGCGGGAAGACAAGUUGGAAGUGAAAUCUAUGGGCUCAACCCAUAAACUGCUUUCAAAACUGUUUUUCUUGAGUAGUGCAGAGGUAGGCGGAAUUCCCGGUGUAGCGGUGGAAUGCGUAGAUAUCGGGAGGAACACCAGUGGCGAAGGCGGCCUACUGGGCACCAACUGACGCUGAGGCUCGAAAGUGUGGGUAGCAAACAGGAUUAGAUACCCUGGUAGUCCACACCGUAAACGAUGAUUACUAGGUGUUGGAGGAUUGACCCCUUCAGUGCCGCAGUUAACACAAUAAGUAAUCCACCUGGGGAGUACGACCGCAAGGUUGAAACUCAAAGGAAUUGACGGGGGCCCGCACAAGCAGUGGAGUAUGUGGUUUAAUUCGACGCAACGCGAAGAACCUUACCAAGUCUUGACAUCCCUUGACGAACAUAGAAAUAUGUUUUCUCUUCGGAGCAAGGAGACAGGUGGUGCAUGGUUGUCGUCAGCUCGUGUCGUGAGAUGUUGGGUUAAGUCCCGCAACGAGCGCAACCCUUACUGUCAGUUACUACGCAAGAGGACUCUGGCAGGACUGCCGUUGACAAAACGGAGGAAGGUGGGGAUGACGUCAAAUCAUCAUGCCCUUUAUGACUUGGGCUACACACGUACUACAAUGGCGUUAAACAAAGAGAAGCAAGACCGCGAGGUGGAGCAAAACUCAGAAACAACGUCCCAGUUCGGACUGCAGGCUGCAACUCGCCUGCACGAAGUCGGAAUUGCUAGUAAUCGUGGAUCAGCAUGCCACGGUGAAUACGUUCCCGGGCCUUGUACACACCGCCCGUC
RNAcentral lists this ribosomal RNA (1368 nucleotides) under uncultured bacterium. RNAcentral's name for it is "bacterial SSU rRNA". It matches the Rfam family "Bacterial small subunit ribosomal RNA". The record is from RNAcentral.